GUCUACGGCUAUGCCACCCUGAAUGUGCCCCAUUUUGUCUGAUCUCAGAAGCUAAGCAGGGUCGGGCAGUAUGUAAACUAAUGGACAUGGGUGUAUUCUGAUAAAAUUUAUAGACGCUGAAGUUU
Molecule: ribosomal RNA, 125 nt
Filed under: Pteropus vampyrus (large flying fox)
Lineage: Eukaryota; Metazoa; Chordata; Mammalia; Chiroptera; Pteropodidae
Source: RNAcentral